This 537-nucleotide long non-coding RNA is filed under the name Monomorium pharaonis (pharaoh ant). Its description in RNAcentral is "uncharacterized LOC118647046, transcript variant X2". Lineage: Eukaryota; Metazoa; Arthropoda; Insecta; Hymenoptera; Formicidae. The record is from RNAcentral.
GACGCUCCCAUUAAUACGCUAUGUAAAAUAAACGUACUUACUAACAAAAAUUGAUUCUAGAUUGUUUCUUUUAAUGUGACCUUUUCAAGUAAGAAAAUCAUAGAAAUGCUUUCUACGACAACCUGCUUUUUAUAAAUAUUAAUCUUACAGAAAUAUAGUCAAUUAUGAGCGUUAUCGAAAAAAACCAAACAAAAGAUGCAUUUUAUAUUAUUUUACUAAAUGAUGGCUUAGUCACAAUGCCAAAGCAAUGGUUAACAAAUGAUAAAAAGUAUACAUUUUGGCCUAUAUGUAAAUUCAGCACAAUUUGUUAAUUUAAUUAAAUCAUGUGCUGAAAUAAAUACACAAUGGAUGGCAAAAUAUGAAAUAUAAUUCAUAUAUGAAACAGCAGGUGUAAGAAGUAAAUUCAAAGAUGUAAAAGGGAUGUAAACGCACCUCUUAAAAUUUGGUUAUCUCACACAUAAGAUCGAUUAAAAAAAGACAAGAAUAAUUAAAAUUAUCUUUCUUGGAAUUUAACUUACAAUUAGAACUUAAUUUACA